Molecule: ribosomal RNA, 334 nt
Filed under: Theileria equi
Lineage: Eukaryota; Apicomplexa; Aconoidasida; Piroplasmida; Theileriidae
Description: SSU rRNA
Rfam family: Eukaryotic small subunit ribosomal RNA
Source: RNAcentral
UGACAAGAAAAUACAAUACGGGGCUUGAAGUCUUGUAAUUGGAAUGAUGGGAAUCUAAACCCCUUCCAGAGUAUCAAUUGGAGGGCAAGUCUGGUGCCAGCAGCCGCGGUAAUUCCAGCUCCAAUAGCGUAUAUUAAACUUGUUGCAGUUAAAAAGCUCGUAGUUGAAUUUCUGCUGUUUCGUUGACUGCGUUUGGCGUUUGUCAUCGUUGCGGCUUGGUUGGGUUUCGAUUAUUCGUUUCCCGGCGUUUACUUUGAGAAAAUUAGAGUGCUUGAAGCAGGCUUUUGCCUUGAAUACUUUAGCAUGGAAUAAGCGGAGUAGGACUUUGGUUCUA